Molecule: long non-coding RNA, 1284 nt
Organism: Pristis pectinata (smalltooth sawfish)
Lineage: Eukaryota; Metazoa; Chordata; Chondrichthyes; Rhinopristiformes; Pristidae
Exons: 6
Source: RefSeq, a predicted model, not a curated record
CCUGCCUCUCUCUGCCCACGUCUUUCCCUCUCCUCUAAUCCCUCUUCUGUUCCCUUCACCUUCAGCCUGCGUUUCUUUGUCUCUUUCUGUUUCUCCACUUUCCUGGUUUAAUUCUGGCGUUCCCGGUGGUUUUCUUCCUUUCUCUUCCCCCCCCCCCCCCCCCCCGCCCCCCUGUAAUUUUAAGAUGGAGGAACGUUGUGUAAGGUUUGGAGUUUAAGAGGGAGCAAGAAACACUGAAACAGCGAGAAAGGCUGCAGUAUUAAACGGUCAUGUUAAAUGGGAACGAAGGGUGGACAUGGCAGGCAAACUCUGGCCAGACGCCAUGGAAGUUGGUGGCAUCCUCCAGAUUAAUUGAAUGACGUUGGAUGAAGCCUGUGCAGACCCCACUUUCCCAGUUUGCCCGGUCUCUUGAUAAUCUCGUGCUUCCCGGCACCCUCCAUCAGUGAGUCAAAUAACCACUCUGUAACUCCAGCGAUGCCAUUGUGGUGCUGAACAAUGUGUGGUAACUCAAUACAUCUGAACUUCCAGCAACAGACUUGUUUGGGUUUAAACUGCUGCACAGUGGCACAGCGGUUAGUGCUCCUGGGACAUAACUCCAGCAACCUGGGUUCAACCUUCACUUCCGGUGCUGCCUGUGUGGAGUUUGCAUGUUCUCCCUGUGACCUGAAUUCCUCCAGGUGGUCUGGUUUCCUCCCACAUCCCAAAGACGACUGGGUGUUCCUGGGGAAUAUCCUGGCUGUCUCAAAAUACAGCACAUUUGGUGUAAUCAGAAGAACUGAAAUCAGGAGGCAGGUUUUAUUCCCUCUUCUCCUGAGGUUCGGACUCUCACAGGGUUUCUUCCUCUCGUGGAGAUGAUGUCUCCCACGAGAAUUCUGAUGCCCUUCUCUGCUGAAGGUGGUGACCCACCCUGCCGUACGUUUCCAAUUCUCUCCUGAAGGUGUCGACUCCCACUGGGACUCCGGUCCACUUCUCACUGAAGGUGCCAUCUCUCACUGAGGUCUUCCAAUUCAUACAGUCCUCUGAGGUGAAAGACAACCUGUUUCCAUUCAAUUUCUCUGGGUUCUGAGCUGGCUGAAGAGCUCUAUGCCAGAUCUGCCGACAUUGUCACAGGUGGGGCAGGUGGUACUUGACAGAGCUGGUGCUGACACACAUGGUGACAAAAUAAUGGCUGGAUAAAGUAAAAUUGAUGUCCAUCUGGUUGUCUUCUAACGUACUGGUAGAGCAACGACGUGAUUGUUGAUUAACUACAGCAAUCAAUUAACCAAUGACAGAUGCAGGUAUGAG